UAAGGAAUAUUGCGCAAUGGGCGCAAGCCUGACGCAGCAACGCCGCGUGGGCGAUGAAGGCCUUCGGGUUGUAAAGCCCUUUUCUGGGGGAUGAGACCAGGACAGUACCCCAGGAAUAAGUGUCGGCUAACUACGUGCCAGCAGCCGCGGUAAAACGUAGGACACGAGCGUUAUCCGGAUUUACUGGGCGUAAAGCGUGUGCAGGCGGCUCGGUCAGUCGGACGUGAAAGCUCCCGGCUCAACUGGGAGAGGCCGUUCGAGACUGCCGGGCUUGAGGGCAGGCGAGGAGCGUGGAAUUCCGGGUGUAGUGGUGAAAUGCGUAGAGAUCCGGAGGAACACCAGUGGCGAAGGCGGCGCUCUGGACUGCCCCUGACGCUCAGACACGAAAGCUAGGGGAGCGAACGGGAUUAGAUACCCCCGUAGUCC
Molecule: ribosomal RNA, 426 nt
Filed under: uncultured prokaryote
Description: bacterial SSU rRNA
Rfam family: Bacterial small subunit ribosomal RNA
Source: RNAcentral